This 460-nucleotide ribosomal RNA is filed under the name uncultured bacterium. RNAcentral describes it as "partial 16S ribosomal RNA". It matches the Rfam family "Bacterial small subunit ribosomal RNA", at positions 338 to 795 of the family's 1533-position model. The record is from RNAcentral.
CCUACGGGUGGCAGCAGUGAGGAAUAUUGGUCAAUGGGCGUAAGCCUGAACCAGCCAAGUCGCGUGCGGGAUGAAGGUUCUAUGGAUCGUAAACCGCUUUUAUACGGGAAUAAAGCGCGGGACGUGUCUCGUUUUGUAUGUACCUUACGAAUAAGGAUCGGCUAACUCCGUGCCAGCAGCCGCGGUAAUACGGAGGAUCCGAGCGUUAUCCGGAUUUAUUGGGCUUAAAGGGUGCGUAGGCGGCGGUUUAAGUCAGCGGUGAAAGUCUGUGGCUCAACCAUAGAAUUGCAGUGGAAACUGGGCGGCUUGAUUAUGUUAGAGGCAGGCGGAAUGCGUGGUGUAGCGGUGAAAUGCUUAGAUAUCACGAGGAACCCCGAUUGCGAAGGCAGCCUGCCGGGCCAUGACUGACGCUGAGGCACGAAAGCGUGGGGAUCAAACAGGAUUAGAUACCCUAGUAGUC